Molecule: long non-coding RNA, 1310 nt
Filed under: Homo sapiens (human)
Lineage: Eukaryota; Metazoa; Chordata; Mammalia; Primates; Hominidae
Description: HSALNT0265877
Source: RNAcentral
UGGCUGGCAGGAUGGGGAGCACAGAGCUGCAUAAUGGAAGGUGUCAGGGCUGCUGACUGCAGAGGAGUACUUUGCUGCAGACGUCCAAGUUUGCGGGGCUCCCCUGGUACUCCCUUCAGAAGAGUGUCGACUUAACGGCACGCAGGCUCUGGCAGUGCCAGAAAGCUUUCGACCUGCUUCCUGGCAGCGGUUGCUAAUUCUUUUCUUUUCUUCCCAGAUAAUUUUUACAAAAGGAAGUAGGGGGCUGAGCAUGCAGGGGAUGCCCCGGAGAGCGAGCCGUACUCACAGCUCACCAGCUUCCUCCUUCCUCUGUCCUAGAGGGGGACCAUCCUGUGCUCCUCUAAGUGCCAUAAGUACGAACAAUCAAAGAUGAUUUAACAUCCACGCUGCACACCAAUGACAUGAAUAAAAGAUUUAAAGAUACUGCCACAGCUCAGAGAGCCUCCUCUUCAAGUUUUCAUCACUACGCUGCUCUCCGGCCCGAGGAUCUCCGCCAAGUGACUGAGCACUUGAUUCUCCAACCUCCAGAGGCGGCCCUGCCCCAGGGCAGCAUUAAGAAGUGCUGAAGAGGGGGCUUAUUCUUAGGGUUCCCCCAACCUUGUUCUCCACUUGGCAGUGGGACCCUGUAAUCAAACAAACUCAGAAAAGCAUUCCCUUUUAGUUUGGUAGCAAAGCAUUUUGUUGUUGCUGAGAAUUGAUUGAUGGACAUUUCUGAGACUGGGAAUCAAACCAGUGUCAGUUCCAGUCCCGGGAACCGGGGAAGGCUUCAUGUCUUUUAGCCUUUGAAAGAUGCACUACGGAGAAUGUUUUCUGAAGUGCAGGAAAAAUAUCCUUUUGUUCAACGGACAUCGGAAUGCGGAGACUGCAGCAUGAUCCUUUUGGUAGGUCAUCAGAAUCAGGGGAGGAGUUCUCAAAACCCAAGCACCCAGGCCUCACCCUAGACCAGUCACACAAAAUUCACCAGCAGAAGGGCCCAGGCAUCAACAGUUUUUCAUUCAAGUUUUCCAGAUUCCUUAGGGACUGGUCAAUUUCAUCUAAGUUACUGGAUUUACAGCUCCCAGCUGAGUCCAGGGACUCAUCAUCCUCUGCUCCUGUGUGUGCUUGAGUGCUGCCACAAUGCAAAGCUUCCAGGGACGUACAUAUGGACUGAUACAAGUGAAUGCUGCAACUGUGCUUCAGUGACCCUUUACUACUUUAUACACAGUCUAGACAGGUUAAAAAUAAAGAGUGCCCCGUCUAAAAGGAAGGACAGAAAAAGAAAAGCAAAGAGCAUCCCACAUCCGCCUUCCACGUCAAAGCACAACCUCAAG